CGACGGCGCGCCUCUGCUGGUAAGAAUCCCCUCCCUUUCUUUUACUUUUCGUUUUCUUUCUUAAAAAAAACGAAGUAAAAUACAAAAGAAAAAGAUGAGACAAAAAAGAAACAGUAAAAAAAAACUUGGAAAGAACAAAUCACCUUCAAAAAUUUGUUUUUUCUAAUUCUUUUCUUUCGUAUUUCAGUAUUUUUCAAUAUAUGUCUGUGUAACCCUUUUACAGAUUUGAUUUGGCUUUAUAUAGCCGAAACAACGGAGAAAGAAACUAUCGAAAAAAAACUCUCCCCCCCCUCUGUCGUCUUCUCUGCCAUUAUUUUUAUUCGUGGUUCAUGGCUUGUUGCCGGUGUGGGCGUUGGAGAACGUGGGUGAGACAACGUGGGCAGUUGCUAUGCAAUCAUGCGUGAAGACGGUUGCUGCAACGUGGGGGCGAGGGUGAUGUCGAUCUGCUGCUUAUUGCCAAAUGUUUCUGCUGUUCAUUUUUUUUUAUUUUAGGCUAGUGGGUCAGGUAUUUGGGUUAAUGACUUGGGCUUGUAAUGGGUUUGGGCUUUAGGCUUAGUUGGGCCCGGGUCAAAAAUUGGGUGUUACAGCUGCCCCUCUUUGCUUGUUGUCGUGUAACGGGAACAGAGCAAAGACUAAAAAGCCCAAUUUUGCCCGGUCAUGCUGAACCUUGGCGCUCUUCAAGUAGCCUCAUUCCAA
RNAcentral lists this long non-coding RNA (696 nucleotides) under Gossypium raimondii (Peruvian cotton). RNAcentral describes it as "long non-coding RNA (GRAI_LNC007159)". The record is from RNAcentral. Lineage: Eukaryota; Viridiplantae; Streptophyta; Magnoliopsida; Malvales; Malvaceae.